UCCCUGGUGGUCCAGUGGCUAAGACUCUGCACUCCCAAUGCAGGCACCCCGGGUUCGAUUCCUGGUCAGUGAA
RNAcentral lists this transfer RNA (73 nucleotides) under Ovis aries (sheep). It matches the Rfam family "tRNA". From Rfam's summary of the family: Transfer RNA (tRNA) molecules are approximately 80 nucleotides in length. Their secondary structure includes four short double-helical elements and three loops (D, anti-codon, and T loops). The record is from Rfam by way of RNAcentral. Lineage: Eukaryota; Metazoa; Chordata; Mammalia; Artiodactyla; Bovidae.